CCCUUAGAUGUCCUGGGCCGCACGCGCGUUACACUGAUGCAUUCAACGAGCUUAUAACCUUGGCCGAGAGGCCUGGGCAAUCUUGUUAACGUGCAUCGUGAUAGGGAUAGAUUAUUGAAAUUAUUAAUCUUGAACGAGGAAUUCCUAGUAAACACAGAUCAUCAAUCUGCAUUGAUUACGUCCCUGCCCUUUGUACACACCGCCCGUCGCACCUACCGAUUGGAUGGUCCGGUGAAGCCUCGGGAUUGUGGUUCUUGCCGCUUUAUUGUGGCGUGACCGCGAGAACUUGUCUAAACCUUAUCAUCUAGAGGAAGGUGAAGUCGUAACA
Molecule: ribosomal RNA, 328 nt
Filed under: uncultured eukaryote
Lineage: Eukaryota
Description: partial 18S ribosomal RNA
Rfam family: Eukaryotic small subunit ribosomal RNA
Source: RNAcentral